RNAcentral lists this ribosomal RNA (474 nucleotides) under uncultured soil bacterium. RNAcentral's name for it is "bacterial SSU rRNA". It matches the Rfam family "Bacterial small subunit ribosomal RNA", at positions 8 to 496 of the family's 1533-position model. The record is from RNAcentral.
AGAGUUUGAUCCUGGCUCAGAAUCAACGCUGGCGGCGUGCCUCAGACAUGCAAGUCGAACGAUUAAAGCUCUCUUCGGAGAGUGUAUAGAGUGGCGCACGGGUGAGUAACACGUAAGUAAUCUACCUUCGAGUGGGGAAUAACGUUCGGAAACGGACGCUAAUACCGCAUAAUGCAGCGGCAUCGCAAGAUGACAGUUGUUAAAGGAGCAAUUCGCUUGAAGAGGAGCUUGCGGCAGAUUAGCUAGUUGGUAAGGUAAUGGCUUACCAAGGCUACGAUCUGUAACCGGUCUAAGAGGACGGUCGGUCACACUGACACUGAAUAACGGGUCAGACUCCUACGGGAGGCAGCAGUCGGGAAUUUUGGGCAAUGGGCGAAAGCCUGACCCAGCAACGCCGCGUGAAGGAUGAAGUAUUUCGGUAUGUAAACUUCGAAAGAAUAGGAAGAAUUAAUGACGGUACUAUUUAAGCCCCCC